GCGGGAAGAGCUCAAAUUUGAAAUCUGGUGGCCUCAGGUCAUCCGAGUUGUAAUCUAUAGAAGUGUUUUCCGUGCUGGCCCAUGUACAAGUCCCUUGGAACAGGGCGUCAUAGAGGGUGAGAAUCCCGUCCUUGACAUGGACUACCAGUGCUCUGUGAUACACUUUCAACGAGUCGAGUUGUUUGGGAAUGCAGCUCAAAAUGGGUGGUAAAUUCCAUCUAAAGCUAAAUAUUGGCGAGAGACCGAUAGCGAACAAGUACCGUGAGGGAAAGAUGAAAAGCACUUUGGAAAGAGAGUUAAACAGUAUGUGAAAUUGUUGAAAGGGAAACGAUUGAAGUCAGUCGUGCUCAAUGGACUCAGCCGUUCUGCGGUGUAUUUCCAUUGGGUGGGGUCAACAUCAGUUUUGAUCGCUGGAUAAAGGCAGGAGGAAUGUAGCACCCCCGGGUGAACUUAUAGCCUCUUGUCACAUACAGUGGUUGGGACUGAGGAACGCAGCAUGCCUUUAUGGCCGGGAUUCGUCCACGUACAUGCUUAGGAUGUUGACAUAAUGGCUUUAAACGACCCGUCU
This 568-nucleotide ribosomal RNA is filed under the name Filobasidium uniguttulatum. RNAcentral's name for it is "eukaryotic LSU rRNA". It matches the Rfam family "Eukaryotic large subunit ribosomal RNA", at positions 98 to 654 of the family's 3401-position model. Lineage: Eukaryota; Fungi; Basidiomycota; Tremellomycetes; Filobasidiales; Filobasidiaceae. The record is from RNAcentral.